GCACCUCUGCCGUGUUCGACGCUCGCGUCAAUUCUUGAACCUUGACGAAUCAACUUGGGAGCCGACUCCUCGGCAGCAAGUCCCGCCGUCCAUCACGAGACGGACUUCUUCGCGAGCCGGGUAGGCGCCCACCUCGUUGUCGGGUUCAAAGUUCGCACCAUGGGUGACGGCACUCAGGCGGAGGUCUU
RNAcentral lists this non-coding RNA (188 nucleotides) under Planctomycetota bacterium. Its description in RNAcentral is "Planctomycetes bacterium (bioreactor metagenome) 6S RNA". It matches the Rfam family "6S / SsrS RNA". From Rfam's summary of the family: E. coli 6S RNA was the first non coding RNA to be sequenced, but its function was unknown until recently. It consists of 184 nucleotides that fold into an extended hairpin structure with a large single-stranded internal bulge. Lineage: Bacteria; Pseudomonadati; Planctomycetota. The record is from RNAcentral.